GGUUCCUGGUCCCCGGGAGAAGCCAAGAAGGUCCUGAGUUCAAGAGAAACAGGUGUCUAAACAGAAGUAAAAUCCUGUGGAAGUUUAGGAUAAUUGAAUUACUCGCAAAUUGGAGUAUCCUGGAAAACUUCCUGGAGGAAGUGGCCUGUGCUUUGUAUCAGGAAAAAUAGAUGGAAAAGUGGUGAUGACAGAAAAUUGUCUGUUGCUUUUGGAAAAGAAAGAAAAAAAAAAGUGACGUUUCCCUGUGUUUGACAUCCUCUUCCUUAAAGGUAUCAGAAUGGUGCGUGGGUUUGGUUUGAAGCUAAAGAAAGGAGAAAGAGCCAGAGAAGAAGAAAAAAAGAUUCCCUGCAGCCUGCCAGGGACGUGGUAACUGCCCUGCCAAGAGUGAUCCUGGGAGAGCUAUUGAAAGAGCUCUGAGGCCUCCUUGGCAUAUGGAAGUUCCCAGGCUAGGGGUGGAAUCCGAGCCACAUCCGUGACCUACACCGCAGCUCACGACAACGCUGGAUCAUCAACCCACUGAGUGAGGCCAGAGAUCGAACCCGAGUCUUCCUGCACACCAGUUAGGUUUGUUACCACUGAGCCGCAACAGGAACUCCCAGGAGCUUUAUGAGUGAAUGAACAAAUGCAUCAUUCCACCCCCACCUCACCGCCGCCACCCCGGGGGAGAGAGUCUACAGCUUUUAGCAGAAUCUCAAAGUUUUUUGUAACCCAGGAAGGUUGAGGAAGCUGAUCCAGGCAAUCUCGAUGUAUAAGUGGGUACUCUAAGGCCCAGAGAGGGCCAGGGACUGGUUCA
This 793-nucleotide long non-coding RNA is filed under the name Sus scrofa (pig). Its description in RNAcentral is "lncRNA (ENSSSCG00055017060.1)". Lineage: Eukaryota; Metazoa; Chordata; Mammalia; Artiodactyla; Suidae. The record is from RNAcentral.